Molecule: long non-coding RNA, 311 nt
Organism: Ornithodoros turicata
Lineage: Eukaryota; Metazoa; Arthropoda; Arachnida; Ixodida; Argasidae
Exons: 3
Source: RefSeq, a predicted model, not a curated record
GCAACAGGCGCCUGUGCGCUCAACACUUUGAAGUGAAGCAGUUCGCAAAUAGGCAGAGGACGCGACUCAGGCAAUCUGCGUGCCCCACCGUCCCAAGGCCAUGCCGUAGAGCACUGGAUUCAGAUUCCCAUCUAUGGCCGAGUAGCCCCACAACACCUGCCCCACGGAGUCCGACGCCCUCUGGCUCCUCCGUGGGAGCACCACAUGCUGGCCCCUCGAGAGAGUCCCAUCCAUGGCCAAGUAGCCCCACAACACCUGCCCCACGGAGUCCGACGCCCUCUGGCUCCUCCGUGGGAGCACCACAUGCUGGC